AGUCCGGCCCUGCCCACACGGCACCCGGAGCCGGGGACCCACCAGCACCACCGGGGUGAAUCGAUCCGUACGGCCGCCUCAGGCGGACGUCAGGACCGUAGGGCAAGCCUUCCGUCAUCGACACCGCCCGAACCCGACAGCUAACCCGGUAGGCGGUCCACGGAAGGAGUU
This 171-nucleotide small RNA is filed under the name Streptomyces auratus. Its description in RNAcentral is "c-di-AMP sequence". It matches the Rfam family "c-di-AMP riboswitch aptamer (ydaO/yuaA leader)". Rfam says of the family: This family represents a conserved RNA structure found upstream of the ydaO and yuaA genes in Bacillus subtilis and related genes in other bacteria. The ydaO/yuaA element is thought to act as a genetic "off" switch for the ydaO and yuaA genes in its native state. The record is from RNAcentral. Lineage: Bacteria; Bacillati; Actinomycetota; Actinomycetes; Kitasatosporales; Streptomycetaceae. RNAcentral also lists the same sequence under 1 other name.